RNAcentral lists this transfer RNA (88 nucleotides) under compost metagenome. Its description in RNAcentral is "tRNA-Ser". It matches the Rfam family "tRNA". Rfam says of the family: Transfer RNA (tRNA) molecules are approximately 80 nucleotides in length. The record is from RNAcentral.
GGAGAGUUACCCAAACGGUUAAGGGGACUGUUUGCUAAACAGUUAGGUCCUUCGGGACGCAUGGGUUCGAAUCCCAUAUUCUCCUCCA